This is a non-coding RNA of Zopfochytrium polystomum, 92 nucleotides long. The record is from the annotation of a GenBank genome assembly. Lineage: Eukaryota; Fungi; Chytridiomycota; Chytridiomycetes; Chytridiales; Chytridiaceae.
GCUCCUGUGACGCAGUGGUAGCGUGUGGAUCUUAUGCCAGCUCCCGCUGACAUGCCAGUCUGAAGCCGUGAGUUCGAUCCUCACCAGGAGCA